RNAcentral lists this ribosomal RNA (305 nucleotides) under uncultured bacterium. RNAcentral's name for it is "bacterial SSU rRNA". It matches the Rfam family "Bacterial small subunit ribosomal RNA", at positions 337 to 656 of the family's 1533-position model. The record is from RNAcentral.
ACCUACGGGAGGCAGCAGUGGGGGAUAUUGCACAAUGGGGGAAACCCUGACCCAGCAACGCCGCGUGAAGGAAGAAGGCUUUCGGGUUGUAAACUUCUUUUGUCAGGGACGGAGCAAGUGACGGUACCUGACGAAUAAGCCACGGCUAACUACGUGCCAGCAGCCGCGGUAAUACGUAGGUGGCAAGCGUUAUCCGGAUUCAUUGGGUGUAAAGGGCGUGUAGGCGGGAAUGCAAGUCAGAUGUGAAAACUAUGGGCUCAACCCAUAGCCUGCAUUUGAAACUGUAUUUCUUGAAUGCUGGAGAG